RNAcentral lists this ribosomal RNA (512 nucleotides) under uncultured bacterium. RNAcentral describes it as "partial 16S ribosomal RNA". The record is from RNAcentral.
GUAGUUAGCCGUGGCUUAUUCAUGAGGUACCGUCACUUCCUUCGUCCCUCAUAAAAGAAGUUUACAACCCGAAGGCCUUCUUCCUUCACGCGGCGUUGCUGGGUCAGGCUUUCGCCCAUUGCCCAAUAUUCCCCACUGCUGCCUCCCGUAGGAGUCUGGACCGUGUCUCAGUUCCAGUGUGGCCGAUCAGCCUCUCAGCUCGGCUACCCAUCGCGGACUAGGUGGGCCGUUACCCCGCCUACUAUCUAAUGGGACGCGAGCCCCUCCUUCUGCGGAUUGCUCCUUUGACCUCUCUGCCAUGCGACAGUGUGGUCUUAUGCGGUAUUAGCAACAAUUUCUGUUGUUAUCCCCCUCAAAGGACAGGUUGCUCACGCGUUACUCACCCGUUCGCCACUAAGUUACAGACCGAAGUCCGUAACUCCGUUCGACUUGCAUGUGUUAGGCACGCCGCCAGCGUUCGUCCUGAGCCAGUGAUACAACUCUGACUAGAGGCGGCGUCGACGACGGACGAC